GACGAACGCUGGCGGCGUGCUUAACACAUGCAUGUCGAACGGAAAGGCCCUGCUUUUGUGGGGUGCUCGAGUGGCGAACGGGUGAGUAACACGUGAGUAACCUGCCCUUGACUUUGGGAUAACUUCAGGAAACUGGGGCUAAUACCGGAUAGGAGCUCCUGCUGCGUGGUGGGGGUUGGAAAGUUUCGGCGGUUGGGGAUGGACUCGCGGCUUAUCAGCUUGUUGGUGGGGUAGUGGCUUACCAAGGCUUUGACGGGUAGCCGGCCUGAGAGGGUGACCGGCCACAUUGGGACUGAGAUACGGCCCAGACUCCUACGGGAGGCAGCAGUGGGGAAUAUUGCACAAUGGGCGGAAGCCUGAUGCAGCAACGCCGCGUGCGGGAUGACGGCCUUCGGGUUGUAAACCGCUUUCGCCUGUGACGAAGCGUGAGUGACGGUAAUGGGUAAAGAAGCACCGGCUAACUACGUG
Molecule: ribosomal RNA, 468 nt
Filed under: uncultured bacterium
Lineage: Bacteria
Description: partial 16S ribosomal RNA
Rfam family: Bacterial small subunit ribosomal RNA
Source: RNAcentral